Molecule: transfer RNA, 75 nt
Filed under: bacterium
Lineage: Bacteria
Description: tRNA-Gly
Rfam family: tRNA
About the family: Transfer RNA (tRNA) molecules are approximately 80 nucleotides in length. Their secondary structure includes four short double-helical elements and three loops (D, anti-codon, and T loops).
Source: RNAcentral
GCGGGGGUAGCUCAGUGGUAGAGCUCCAGCCUUCCAAGCUGGUUGUCGCGGGUUCGAGCCCCGUUCCCCGCUCCA